AGGUACAGAUGCCCUUAUCUGAUAGGCAUUCGCCCAUUGUUCUCUUAUUCUGGAUUCUGGAAGUAGGGUCUAAACUUCCACGUCUGCAAUUUGAAACGAGGAUCAUACUAAUAACUAAAAUAAGGGCCCAUAUAGGCCAAACUGGAAGACACCAUGGGUCACACUAUUUGGAUCAUUAGGUGAUAGAUAAUGAUACAUGGUGCUUAUUAAAGAUACACUGUAAUUUUAAGUGUUAGCUGACACAGAAUGUCCUCAUCUCUAAAUUGGUGAUUCAAAAAUCUUAAAACAGAAGGGAGUCAAUGGACUGGGGUAUCAAUGAUCCACUAACAAGGAUGUCACUUUUCAAGUUAAAAUUUUAGUUAUCAUUUCACUCCUAUAGCACUUUUUCAUUAUUUCAUUCAGGACAGUGAUUGAUCACUUCACAUUACAGGUUAUUGUCUUUGAGCUUGGGGAUCUGGUUUUUGUGUUCAAUUUUCAUGCAGAAAAUACAUAUGAUGGGUAUGUGUUCUUUGUUUUUCUCCAAUAAGCAAAAGUCUAUUGUUUUAGCAUGUGUGGACUGUGGACGUGAGGCUACAUGCCACUAUGUUCAAACGGUUUGAUAGGAAUUGCAUUCUGAUGAUUAAUUAUUUGUAUAGCCUUUCCAGUGACCAUCUGUGUUUCAAUCUGAAUCAUUCAGGUACAAGGUUGGGUGUGACUUGC
RNAcentral lists this unclassified non-coding RNA (699 nucleotides) under Hevea brasiliensis (rubber tree). Lineage: Eukaryota; Viridiplantae; Streptophyta; Magnoliopsida; Malpighiales; Euphorbiaceae. The record is from RNAcentral.